This 848-nucleotide ribosomal RNA is filed under the name uncultured bacterium. Its description in RNAcentral is "bacterial SSU rRNA". It matches the Rfam family "Bacterial small subunit ribosomal RNA", at positions 8 to 812 of the family's 1533-position model. The record is from RNAcentral.
AGAGUUUGAUCCUGGCUCAGGAUGAACGCCGGCGGUGUGCCUAAUACAUGCAAGUCGUACGCACUGGCCCAACUGAUUGAUGGUGCUUGCACCUGAUUGACGUUGGAUCACCAGUGAGUGGCGGACGGGUGAGUAACACGUAGGUAACCUGCCCCGGAGCGGGGGAUAACAUUUGGAAACAGAUGCUAAUACCGCAUAACAACAAAAGCCGCAUGGCUUUUGUUUGAAGGAUGGCUUUGGCUAUCACUCUGGGAUGGACCUGCGGUGCAUUAGCUAGUUGGUAAGGUAACGGCUUACCAAGGCGAUGAUGCAUAGCCGAGUUGAGAGACUGAUCGGCCACAAUGGAACUGAGACACGGUCCAUACUCCUACGGGAGGCAGCAGUAGGGAAUCUUCCACAAUGGACGAAAGUCUGAUGGAGCAACGCCGCGUGAGUGAAGAAGGGUUUCGGCUCGUAAAGCUCUGUUGGUAGUGAAGAAAGAUAGAGGUAGUAACUGGCCUUUAUUUGACGGUAAUUACUUAGAAAGUCACGGCUAACUACGUGCCAGCAGCCGCGGUAAUACGUAGGUGGCAAGCGUUAUCCGGAUUUAUUGGGCGUAAAGCGAGCGCAGGCGGUUGAUUAGGUCUGAUGUGAAAGCCUUCGGCUUAACCGAAGAAGUGCAUCGGAAACCGGGCGACUUGAGUGCAGAAGAGGACAGUGGAACUCCAUGUGUAGCGGUGGAAUGCGUAGAUAUAUGGAAGAACACCAGUGGCGAAGGCGGCUGUCUGGUCUGCAACUGACGCUGAGGCUCGAAAGCAUGGGUAGCGAACAGGAUUAGAUACCCUGGUAGUCCAUGCCGUAAACGAUGA